Molecule: ribosomal RNA, 570 nt
Filed under: uncultured bacterium
Lineage: Bacteria
Description: partial 16S ribosomal RNA
Rfam family: Bacterial small subunit ribosomal RNA
Source: RNAcentral
UGGGGAAUUUUGGACAAUGGGCGAAAGCCUGAUCCAGCAAUGCCGCGUGUGUGAAGAAGGCCUUCGGGUUGUAAAGCACUUUUGUCCGGAAAGAAAUCCUCUGGGUUAAUACCUCGGGGGGAUGACGGUACCGGAAGAAUAAGCACCGGCUAACUACGUGCCAGCAGCCGCGGUAAUACGUAGGGUGCAAGCGUUAAUCGGAAUUACUGGGCGUAAAGCGUGCGCAGGCGGUUUUGUAAGACGGAUGUGAAAUCCCCGGGCUUAACCUGGGAACUGCAUUCGUGACUGCAAGGCUAGAGUAUGGCAGAGGGGGGUAGAAUUCCACGUGUAGCAGUGAAAUGCGUAGAGAUGUGGAGGAAUACCGAUGGCGAAGGCAGCCCCCUGGGCCAAUACUGACGCUCAUGCACGAAAGCGUGGGGAGCAAACAGGAUUAGAUACCCUGGUAGUCCACGCCCUAAACGAUGUCAACUAGUUGUUGGGGAUUCAUUUCCUUAGUAACGUAGCUAACGCGUGAAGUUGACCGCCUGGGGAGUACGGUCGCAAGAUUAAAACUUAAAGGAAUUGACGGGG